UCAGCAGAGUCUGAAUAUGACAAGAAUUUAAUCAAUAAACGCUUUGCUUCAGUGCCUCUGUUCCACCAGGAAAGAGAAGUGGGAGCAGGUCCCUCAGGCGAGCAGUGUCAGGAAGAAAGGAUGCUCGUGUCAGCUGUUUACCCGGCAGAAGAGUUCCAGGAAUGUCCUGCAACCAGCAGAUGGUGCAACUUGGUGAUGAACAAGCUGGUGACCCAGCCCUCAGGCCACCUUGAGCUGUUUGAGAACUCAGGACCUUGGUCUCUGAGGGAUUAGACUCUGCUUUUGAGACAUGUGAAAGACCACAGCAAGGAUAAGGGAGCAAGAAAAUAACAUGAUUAAACAAACUGAAACUACAAGGUGUGCCCUUUACAAGACGGAAGGAAACAAUAAAUUCAUCAGAAGGCAUGUGUUGAUUUCCUACAAUGAAACUUCAUGCAACAACAUUCAGUGGAACUGAAUAUAUACAGGUGCCAGAGGCUGGCCAGGAAGGCCUCCAGCAUUGUCUUCUGGAAGAAUGCUAAGACCUAAAUGUCAUGGGGCCAUCGUGAGGCCUGCAUCUAGCAGCAGGAUGCUUUUGUUGUUUAUUUCUUGUUGUAGAAAAAAAAGUUACGGUUUUGAAACAUUUAGACCAAAAAACGAGAUUAAGAAUUUUUUUCUAUGUCCCCAAACUGCACUUACUGCAAAGCCAAUAGUUUAAAAUGGAUCAUUAUCUGUAUAAAUGUAAGAAUUUUGAAACGUUGCUUUUGUCGAGUUUUUAUAGGACGGCCUGUCUUCCAGUUCUGCAACUAAACCUAUUAAGAUGAUUCAUGGAGCAAGAAAAUACAGCCAGGGUCAUAGCCAGACUCACUCUGAUUUUUGAGGAAUGAACUGAAAGGUAACGUGCACAGCUUACAUCUUAAAGCAAUCAGCAUAAAUGCAAGGGAUACCCGUUCAAGCAGACUUUCAAAGACAGCACACACUAUCAACACAGAGCUUGUCCACACUUGAGGAAUACAGUGACGGGACUGUUACACA
This is a long non-coding RNA of Tupaia belangeri chinensis (Chinese tree shrew), 1014 nucleotides long. RefSeq lists it as uncharacterized. Lineage: Eukaryota; Metazoa; Chordata; Mammalia; Scandentia; Tupaiidae. The record is from RefSeq and is a predicted model, not a curated record. The transcript has 6 exons.